Molecule: long non-coding RNA, 1417 nt
Filed under: Dermacentor andersoni
Lineage: Eukaryota; Metazoa; Arthropoda; Arachnida; Ixodida; Ixodidae
Description: uncharacterized LOC126533482
Source: RNAcentral
GCGCUUCAGUGGUUUCGUUAUCGCGUAGUGCUGCGCAGUUGGUUUAUCCGGCUCGCGAAACUCGCAGAAACUGUUCUUUUAUUCUAUGCUGCAAACAGCAGAGAAUGCCACGUCCAUGUGAUGUCGCGGGAUGUCCAAACGGUCCAAGGAAUGGCCCAGGCCGCUUGGUCAAGAGCAGUUGCAGCGGCGAAUCCAAUGUGACUUACCACAGUGUGCCAAGAAGUGAACCUCUGCGUUCGAAGUGGCUAAGUGCCGUCCCUCUGCGACAGUGGGAUGGUAAAAAGCCGAAAAAUUUCGUAGUAUGCUCGCUGCACUUUCGUCCAGAGGAUUACGAAUGCAAUGGUAACGUGAGCAAGUCGUGUGGAGUGCCUUUCCGAGCACUGCUUUCCCGUCGCGCUGUUCCGUCGGUCGUGCCCGAAAUACAAGAACCGUUACAGGAUGAUAAAGCUGCGGCUGAACUUGCCGAAAUGGAAACCAGCGAUUCGAUGACCGACACCUCCAACCAGAGCGACGUGACCGAGGUAGUACAUUACGUAAAGUGUGCGAAAACUGUCUAUUUACGGCGCUGGCGCUCAGAAACUGCACUGACAGAAGCCGCUGCAUAAUUUGGAUGCGCGCCUGACGCGCAGCUUCACAAGUUGUUGGUUAUUUUUAGGCGACCCGGGACGUGGGGACACAGGCAAGCCUUUCGUCGAGUACUACUGCCGAGAAAAGUGGAAGUAGCUUUCGAUAUGCUAAAUAUGCGCAAGUUCGUCUGCGCGGCACUAGCAUUGGAGUUCAAGUUAACACAACAAUGAAGAAAACAAAGGAAAAGGGAACGCAGGUUUUAUAGGAGAAGGAAGCACGUGAUGUCAGCUCUGGUCAAGAUGCAUUGUAGUGCAAAGAGCUGAAGGAGCCAAGCAACGGGGACAGACAUCUAGAGAGGAGGCCAGCUUUCUCAUCUCGCAUAAUACCCUGCUGGUAGCAUGCAAAGAUGACAGGCAUGACAGGAGGCAUGAGCCAUACAACUAGACUCGUACCUUGAGUGCAACAUUUGCUGAUCAGUUUGGAAUGUGCAUCAGGCAUCACUGCUGACACGGGUCACUGAUACAACCCUGCAGCUUUAUGGAGAUGGUCACUGUGAUGCGGCAGGUCACAGUGCUAAAAUCCUCACACACGGAGCAAGUUCAAGUCAAGGAGGCUCAUGGCUCCAGAACAAAGACAGCAUGCUGCUAAACUUGCUGGUGAAUGGAGAAGACGCCUGCCAUGGAUACCUGUGCUAAACCUUGCGCUAUGUCAAGAGGUGCCCACCGUCGUCUCCACAUCCUGCUCCUCUCCUGCUUGAAGAGCCAAUCUCAACGCUGCAGGACCUGAACCAGCUGGAUGUCGAGGUCAAUGCCCCAAUCCAGGACUUGCUCAGUGCUCUAGGCCAGUCGGU